CAGGGAGACAACAAAAUGUUUAAUAUUAUUAUUUUGUCACCUUAGGUCGAUCGGUAUCUCACGUUCUUAAUUAAUUAAGAAUUUCAUUUCCUAAGUUUUUCUAGGUCACACCCAUUAUUUUUCCUGGGCCAUUAGCUCAGGUGGUUAGAGCGCACCCCUGAUAAGGGUGAGGUCCCUGGUUCAAGUCCAGGAUGGCCCAUAUCUCUAUGUUGGGGGUAUAGCUCAGUUGGUAGAGCGCCUGCUUUGCAAGCAGGAUGUCAGCGGUUCGAGUCCGCUUACCUCCACUGAUUACCACCUCUUCCAUAAUCUGUAGAAAGGAAAUGUUUUGAGUUGUGAUCAAAUUCUGAACGAAUCUAGCUUCCUAAUGCAAGCAUUAAGAUGCUGGACUCAUUGAAUUAAUUUCAUUGUUUUCAGAGAACCUUGACAACUGCAUAGAUUAUUUUUUAAAGACAAUAAGCAUCUUUAAUGAUGCAGAUUUAUUAUUUGUGCGAAUGCAUUAAUAACAAUUCUAUUAAGCUGAUGCUUCAA
This 528-nucleotide transfer RNA is filed under the name uncultured Prochlorococcus sp. RNAcentral's name for it is "partial 16S-23S ribosomal RNA intergenic spacer". The stretch from base 212 to 284 matches the Rfam family "tRNA". The record is from RNAcentral. Lineage: Bacteria; Bacillati; Cyanobacteriota; Cyanophyceae; Synechococcales; Prochlorococcaceae.